UUGUGCAGGGAAAUGAGAUUUUCUUAAUAUUCCGUUCAGAGAGCAGCAAUUUGGUGACACGGAUGUCACUAAAAGCCCGCAAUGAGCCCGGACGGCGAAUAGCGGGCGGUUGCGUCCGGUUGAUACCACUUUACCGGAAUAUUUAGAAAAUCCAUUUUCCGAAGCCA
Regulatory RNA element from Lachnospiraceae bacterium 28-4, 167 nucleotides. Lineage: Bacteria; Bacillati; Bacillota; Clostridia; Lachnospirales; Lachnospiraceae. The record is from Rfam.